Molecule: non-coding RNA, 571 nt
Organism: Manis javanica (Malayan pangolin)
Lineage: Eukaryota; Metazoa; Chordata; Mammalia; Pholidota; Manidae
Source: RefSeq, a predicted model, not a curated record
GUUUUAAUCUCUUUCUUAACUGUUCCUCUCAGAAAGCUUAUGGAAGACUAAUGAAGAUAACCUCGUACCAGCUCACCCUUUACCUGCGUUAGAAUUCCCAGAUGCAUUUUCUGCCGGUGUUUGUGCCCAGGGAAGCUCACCCCAAUGGACUGCAGCUCCCUGGCUACUUGGCAAGUGACUUCGCAUUGGACUUGACCAAUAGGAGGCCUUGGAAGAAGACUGGAGGAAGGAACUGCAGAUGAGGUUGCUUCUCCUUCCACACCGUGCCAUGCCAUGCCCAGGACAGAAAGGAGCAAGGGUGAAGAAAAACACCAUGGAAUUCCCUACCAUUUUGAAGGUGGCUUUUUCUUCACUGGACAUUUACUUGGUUGCUAUGGAUCUUUGACUGAUUUCCAGAGCUCCUAUAAAGAUAUUUUAAUUCAUUUCUAGGUGUUUAAUUAGUGUUUUCAAAGAGCAACAAGUGUUUACAGCUUCCUUGCCUGUCAUUUUUCUGAUAUAACUCUGAAGUCUGAGUUUUACCACAUCUAUAGAUUUGUGUAAUCAAGAUAAAGUUAAUCAGGAUACAUUAGCA